AGCCCUGUAGCUCAGUUGGUAGAGCAUGGUGUUUGCAACGCCAGGGUUGUGGGUUCGAUUCCCACGGGGGGCCA
This is a non-coding RNA of Salmo salar (Atlantic salmon), 74 nucleotides long. The record is from Rfam. Lineage: Eukaryota; Metazoa; Chordata; Actinopteri; Salmoniformes; Salmonidae.